UUCGGCAAUGGACGAAAGUCUGACCGAGCAACGCCGCGUGAGUGAAGAAGGUUUUCGGAUCGUAAAGCUCUGUUGUAAGUCAAGAACGUGUGUGAGAGUGGAAAGUUCACACAGUGACGGUAGCUUACCAGAAAGGGACGGCUAACUACGUGCCAGCAGCCGCGGUAAUACGUAGGUCCCGAGCGUUGUCCGGAUUUAUUGGGCGUAAAGGGAGCGCAGGCGGUCAGGAAAGUCUGGAGUAAAAGGCUAUGGCUCAACCAUAGUGUGCUCUGGAAACUGUCUGACUUGAGUGCAGAAGGGGAGAGUGGAAUUCCAUGUGUAGCGGUGAAAUGCGUAGAUAUAUGGAGGAACACCAGUGGCGAAAGCGGCUCUCUGGUCUGUCACUGACGCUGAGGCUCGAAAGCGUGGGUAGCGAACAGGAUUAGAUACCCUGGUAGUCCACGCCGUAAACGAUGAGUGCUAGGUGUUAGGCCCUUUCCGGGGCUUAGUGCCGGAGCUAACGCAAUAAGCACUCCGCCUGGGGAGUACGACCGCAAGGUUGAAGCUCAAAGGAACUGACGGGGGCCCGCACAAGCGGUGGAGCAUGUGGUUUAAUUCGAAGCAACGCGAAGAACCUUACCAGGUCUGACAUCCGAUGCUAUCUA
Molecule: ribosomal RNA, 644 nt
Filed under: Streptococcus mutans
Lineage: Bacteria; Bacillati; Bacillota; Bacilli; Lactobacillales; Streptococcaceae
Description: bacterial SSU rRNA
Rfam family: Bacterial small subunit ribosomal RNA
Source: RNAcentral